This is a long non-coding RNA of Mytilus californianus (California mussel), 182 nucleotides long. RefSeq lists it as uncharacterized. The transcript has 3 exons. The record is from RefSeq and is a predicted model, not a curated record. Lineage: Eukaryota; Metazoa; Mollusca; Bivalvia; Mytilida; Mytilidae.
GUGAUACUGAUGUAUCCUUCUAUGAACAAGGUGGUGAUACUGAGGUAUCCUUCUAUGAACAAGAUGGUGAUACUGAUGUAUCCUUCUAUGAACAAGGUUGUGAUACUGAUGUAUCCGUCUAUGAACAAGGUGGUGAUACUGAUGUAUCCUUCUAUGAACAAGGUGGUGAUACUGAUGUAUCC